AAACUAUUGUUCAUCAAUAUACUUGCAAUCUCCUCAAACUUGGACUUGAUUAAUUCCUCAUCAUAUUCUCCUCUAACAAACCUUAUGAUCUCUGUGUCAAUACAAAUCACAGUCGAUCCAUAUACCUCAACAGGAAGGAUCCCUCCUCCUCUGUUACUCUGUAUCAUUUCAAGGAAAUUGUUCAUAGCAGCCUGUGCACAAGUACCAAGAAUAAGUGGAUUUUUUCCUCUGUUAUUGACGAAAACCUCCCCAAUUCUUCUGCAAUCAUCUUCUCCCCCAGAGAAUCCCAAGAAAGGGAAGCUAAAACUUCGAUCGGAUUGAUUGGUUAAA
Molecule: unclassified non-coding RNA, 330 nt
Filed under: Hevea brasiliensis (rubber tree)
Lineage: Eukaryota; Viridiplantae; Streptophyta; Magnoliopsida; Malpighiales; Euphorbiaceae
Source: RNAcentral